This 241-nucleotide long non-coding RNA is filed under the name Lathyrus oleraceus (garden pea). RNAcentral describes it as "Pisum sativum (pea) long non-coding RNA (PSAT_LNC024945)". The record is from RNAcentral. Lineage: Eukaryota; Viridiplantae; Streptophyta; Magnoliopsida; Fabales; Fabaceae.
CAAUCAUUAUGCAAAUGAAAAGAUUGCUUUUAUUCUUGUUUUUAGGGUUUUUUGUGAUCACCAAUUUCAUGCAAAAAGCGAAAAGGGAAAACAAAUGGAAAAACAAAUGUUUUAAUCAAACAAGGCAAUCAUUAUGCAAAUGAAAAGAUUGCUUUUAUUCUUGUUUUUAGGGUUUUUUGUGAUCACCAAUUUCAUGCAAAAAGCGAAAAGGGAAAACAAAUGGAAAAACAAAUGUUUUAAC